This 241-nucleotide unclassified non-coding RNA is filed under the name plant metagenome. Its description in RNAcentral is "partial contains small subunit ribosomal RNA, internal transcribed spacer 1, and 5.8S ribosomal RNA". The record is from RNAcentral.
UUUCCGUAGGUGAACCUGCGGAAGGAUCAUUAUUGAAUGAAACACUACUGGCUUUAUGCUGUUGUGCUGGCCCUUUGGGCAAUGUGCACACGGCUCUGGUCACUUGUUUCUUCUGUUCCACCUGUGCACUGCCUGUAGACACGCUGUGUCUAUGAUAUUUGUUAACACACAACAAUGUUAGUUGGCAUGUUAUAUAUAAUAAUAAAAUAUACAACUUUCAACAACGGAUCUCUUGGCUCUC